CCUACGGGAGGCAGCAGUGAGGAAUAUUGGUCAAUGGACGAGAGUCUGAACCAGCCAAGUAGCGUGAAGGAUGACUGCCCUCUGGGUUGUAAACUUCUUUUAUAGGGGAAUAAAAUGUUCAUCGUGUGGGAUUUUGUAUGUACCAUAUGAAUAAGGAUCGGCUAACUCCGUGCCAGCAGCCGCGGUAAUACGGAGGAUCCGAGCGUUAUCCGGAUUUAGUGGGUUUAAAGGGAGUGUAGGUUGAUUUUUAAGUCAGUUGUGAAAGUUUGCGGCUCAACCGUAAAAUUGCAGUUGAAACUGGCAGUCUUGAGUACAGUAGAGGUGGGCGGAAUUCGUGGUGUAGCGGUGAAAUGCUUAGAUAUCACGAAGAACUCCGAUUGCGAAGGCAGCUCACUGGACUGCAACUGACACUGAGGCUCGAAAGUGUGGGUAUCAAACAGGAUUAGAUACCCUUGUAGUC
Molecule: ribosomal RNA, 460 nt
Filed under: uncultured bacterium
Lineage: Bacteria
Description: partial 16S ribosomal RNA
Rfam family: Bacterial small subunit ribosomal RNA
Source: RNAcentral